CACUUCUCUCCAGCCUCAAGUCACAAGGCCUCCCUAAGGCUUCAGGUGCCCUGCCCCUUGCUCUCUGGAUCUGUCCGAGGAUGUAGGGGUGGGAUGGCACCUGGCGCCAAUGCUGAAAAAACUGCACAAAUUCGAAUCCAGGACUGAGUAAAGCCCACAACAACACUGAGGCAGUCUCAAGGAAAAGAGGAAGAAGAGACUUUCUACGAGUGUCUGUGCCAAGAAACUCGGCUUGCAGAACUGCAAGGGCAGAAUAAGUCAUGUGAAGGGGAGGAGACAUGAAAUGCUAACAUGCAUUGGUUUUGUAAAAGAGACCACUUACUGAGCAUUGACUCUGUGUCAAACUGUGCCAAGCGAUUAAGAGAAUUCAUCUCCUUUCUGUGUUACUCUCUCCUUUUCUCUUUCCCAGUGAAGUAGAGAUUUCACCGUCUCUGUUCCAGAGAGGAAUGUUGAGGAGGUUAUGUAACUUUGCCAACUUGAAUGCUGCUAGCAAACAGAGAGCCAAGACUCAAACUGGCUUCAGCCUGACACACAGCCCACGUUCCUCAAACGACCACCAGCCUUCAAAUAAAUGGGUGGUUUCAUGUCUGAAAGAGGAAGAGGUAACCCUGACCCGAUACCUCCACCCAACAACCCUGGCCAAGACCAGUCCAUGACCUGACGUGGCCCCGAGAUGGACCUGCAGGUAGGGUGAGCACGGCACCCGGGCCUGGGCCAGCAGAGAAUACCAGCCAGGUCAACCGUCUGCUGCCCUGACUCACCCCAGGCUUGUGGUGAGCAUGGCCAGCUGCAGUCAAGUACUCCGCAGGACAUUCUGUGCCACGGCUCCCAGGUAAGAGCCUGCAAGAAAGGGGAGGACCGCCUUUUCCAGCUGUGUCUCUUGUCCUUUAUGGCAAAUAUUUCCUAUCUCUUCCUCCCCAUUAAGGUGAAUCUACGGAACCAAGCAUGUAUGCAUGCAUUCAGUCAUUUAACAAACACUUAUUUAAGCAGCUACUGAAUACCAGGCAGGCUUCCCAGGUGGCUCAGUGGGUAAAGAAGCCACCUGUGAUGCAGGAAAGGUGGGUUUGAUCCCCGGGUUGGGAAGAUUCCUGGAGAAGGGCAAGGCAACCCACUCCAGUAUUCUUGCCUGGAGAAUCCCCAUGGACAGAGGAGCCUGGUGGGCUACAGUCCAAGCGGUCACAGAGUCAGACACGAUUGAAGCAACUAAGCACACAUACCAAUACCAGGCACGGCGCUAGACCCUGGAGGUACAGCCUGAACAAGACAAAUUUUUGCCAACAUGAAGCUCAUGUUUUCAAUGGAGGCGCCAGAUAACAAGCAAAUGAGAUACU
Molecule: long non-coding RNA, 1331 nt
Organism: Bos indicus x Bos taurus (hybrid cattle)
Lineage: Eukaryota; Metazoa; Chordata; Mammalia; Artiodactyla; Bovidae
Source: Ensembl